GGGAGGCGGAGCUUGCAGGGAGCCAAGAUUGUACCACUGCACUCCAGCCUGGGCGACAGAGCGAGAUUCCAUCUCAGAAAAAAAAAAAGAAAGAAAAAAAAAGAAGGAUAAAACCCAAGCCACCUCCUAUGGGGACGGUGCAGACUUGCUCCCCUGAAAUGCUUUGUUGCAAUCAAUGACCAUGGUCUGUGUCAAAGAGUGUUAUAAAGCAGGAAUAUUCAGUGGGGCUAUGGAAAAGAUAAGGCUAAAGAUGCUGUUCAUUAUCAUCGCACAGUGUUUUCUUGAGAAAAAAUGCCUCCCAAUGGUAGGAACAGCAGGGCCAUCUCUCUGAGCAGCCCUGUGAUUUUACAGUAGACUUUACUGUCCUCUUGGAGUUGCUGCUGGAAAGCAGAAAGCUGCAUUUGUAGCCCUCCCAUAGUCAUGGAUAGAACACUCAAGCAUAGUUUGGAUACUGAGCUUGUUCCUUGCUGCAACUUAUUUUCCUACCCUACUUUCUUCUAACCUCAUCUUCCUAACUAGUAUUUUAUCUUGCGACAGUGUGUACAUUUUCUAAGACGUGCAUGAGAGUUUAGCCAAGUAUACAGUCAGAAAGAAUACAAUCUACACAGGACUGCCCUCACUUCUGAUACCACCUGAAAGUUCAAGGAGUUCCAAAAACUACCCUCAGUUUUAGUAAUUUGCUAGAAAUAGUCACAGAAUACAAUGAAAGCUGUUAUAUUCAUGGUUAUGUCUUAUUGUAGGGAAAGGACACAUAUUAAACUCAGCCUAGGAAAGAAGCACACAGAGUCCAGGGAAGUACUAAGUAUGUCCUUUCCCAUGGGGUUAGGACAGGGUACUCUUCUGGCAUCAGUGUGUAACAAUACACACACAAUAUUUCCAACCAGGAAAUCUCGCCCAAGCCUCAGAGUUUUUACUAGGACUAAAUCACACGCUGCCCACAUGGCUGACUGUCAGUCACUGGCCCUUCCAAAAGUCAAGCUGACACCUUUGGUCUCCAUUCCCUCUGGAGGUAGAAAUGAUAGUGCUUGGCAUAAAUCCCUCAUCAUAAAUCACACUGUUGAACUGUCUGAUGGCCAAGGCCCCUAGACAAACAAAGACACUUUGAUCAGGCCUAGAGAUCGGCACCUCAUAGUGGAGGGCAAAUGCUAGACCUGUCUUUGGGAAAGGCUGAUUCUUCGCUAGGCAACGAAAAUUCAUCUUUAGAACAAGGCAACGAGAAGGAAGGAAGGAACAAACCAACCAAUCAAACCAAAUCAGUCCAGGAUGGCCAGACUCCUCAAUCCUGCCCUGCACUGACAAUGACUGCUGGAGAACAAGAUCCCUCGGGGAGAAGUCCAGGGUGAAGGAUUCCAGCAGGGACCCUCUGUCCUCAUAGCCAUUGAGCCCCUUUAUGAGUUGGUACCCUGGGUUGAAGAAGGGGGUUAAGGGUGCCACCCAACUCUGAGUGAGGCGAGGAGAGAUAUCACAUAGUGUCUUCUGAGACCAAGGAAGGUGCAGAGAUGCUGAUGCAGAUUGAGGCUGACUUGGACUCAUUCUGUCACCUCUAUUUAUUGGGUAAGAUUCCCAGGCAUAGAAGAUUAGGAUGUGCAGUAGAAAGUGGGAGUCCUGGCAGCUUUGCAGGACCAUUUGGGAAGGACACAGGGUCAUCGUCACAGUUGACACCCAGGCCCUUAGAGUGACUUUCAUGAAUCUUCAGGCCGCACCUGGACAAAACAGCUAUUGUUUCUCCCCUGGCACUCUGAGGAGUCCUGGGGAACUCAGAGGCCUGUGAUUGCCCCCCUCCCACCGCCACCAAAAAAAAAAAAAAAAA
Macaca fascicularis (crab-eating macaque) is the source of this 1810-nucleotide long non-coding RNA. Lineage: Eukaryota; Metazoa; Chordata; Mammalia; Primates; Cercopithecidae. The record is from Ensembl.